GAUGAACGCUGGCGGCGUGCCUAAUACAUGCAAGUCGAACGGGGAGUAGCAAUACUCUUAGUGGCGAACGGGUGAGUAACGCGUUGGUACCUGCCCCGAAGCGGGGGAUAACGGACCGAAAGGUCCGCUAAUACCCCAUGUGCUCGGUAACGAGUAAAGGUGAAAACCACUUUGGGAGGGGCCUGCGUCCCCUCAGCUAGUUGGUAAGGUAACGGCUUACCAAGGCGAUGACGGGUAGGGGACCUGAGAGGGUGGCCCCCCACAAUGGAACUGAAACACGGUCCAUACACCUACGGGUGGCAGCAGUAGGGAAUAUUGGUAAUGGGCGCAAGCCUGAACCAGCAGCGCCGCGUGUGCGAUGACGGCCUUCGGGUUGUAAAGCACUUUUGACUGGGACGAGGAAGGACGGUACCGGUCGAAUCAGCCUCGGCUAACUACGUG
Molecule: ribosomal RNA, 441 nt
Filed under: uncultured bacterium
Lineage: Bacteria
Description: partial 16S ribosomal RNA
Rfam family: Bacterial small subunit ribosomal RNA
Source: RNAcentral